This 73-nucleotide small nucleolar RNA is filed under the name Gouania willdenowi (blunt-snouted clingfish). RNAcentral's name for it is "Small nucleolar RNA R38 (ENSGWIG00000013147.1)". It matches the Rfam family "Small nucleolar RNA R38". From Rfam's summary of the family: snoR38 is a C/D box small nucleolar RNA conserved across yeast, human, Arabidopsis and rice. The record is from Rfam by way of RNAcentral. Lineage: Eukaryota; Metazoa; Chordata; Actinopteri; Blenniiformes; Gobiesocidae.
CAGUAGUAAUGAUGAGUUUGUUAUCCCUGUCUGAAUAUAAUCUGUGUGGAAACCAAAGGUAUCUGACUUACUA